This 291-nucleotide ribosomal RNA is filed under the name uncultured eukaryote. RNAcentral describes it as "partial 18S ribosomal RNA". It matches the Rfam family "Eukaryotic small subunit ribosomal RNA", at positions 6 to 306 of the family's 1831-position model. The record is from RNAcentral.
GGUUGAUCCUGCCAGUAGUCAUACGCUUGUCUCAAAGAUUAAGCCAUGCAUGUCUAAGUAUAAGCAUUAUACAGUGAAACUGCGAAUGGCUCAUUAUAUCAGUUAUAGUUUAUUUGAUAGUCCCUACUACUUGGAUAACCGUAGUAAUUCUAGAGCUAAUACAUGCGAAGCCUCCGGACUGCGCGAGCGGGACGGACGUAUUUAUUAGAACCAACCAGCCCUUCGGGUCCCCGGUGAAUCAUAAUAACUGAGCGAACCGCAUGCUUCGGCGGCGGUGGUUCAUUCAAGUUU